GACUGGAUAGCUCAGUCGGUAGAGCAGUUGCACUAGUAAUGCGAAAGUCUUGAGUUCGAAUCUCACUUCAGUCC
Molecule: transfer RNA, 74 nt
Filed under: Clytia hemisphaerica
Lineage: Eukaryota; Metazoa; Cnidaria; Hydrozoa; Leptothecata; Clytiidae
Description: tRNA-Thr for anticodon AGU
Rfam family: tRNA
About the family: Transfer RNA (tRNA) molecules are approximately 80 nucleotides in length. Their secondary structure includes four short double-helical elements and three loops (D, anti-codon, and T loops).
Source: Rfam by way of RNAcentral